GGAGAGCAACCCCCAGAGAGUGCAGGAGAAGCAGCAGCAGCAGCAGCAGGGUGACGUCCCCUAUCUUGGCACAUUCCUUGGUGACCUGUUGAUGCUGCGUCUGGCGAUGGGUGAUUAUCUCCAGGAACACCGAGUCAUGAGGGAGAUCCUGCUGCUCCAGGUGGCUGCAAAGAAUUACAACCAGAGCCCGAGGACCGAUUUGGGGCCUGGUUCCAGGACAUGGAGCUGCUCAACGAGAAUGAUAGGUCAAAGACCAAGGGCAGAGGUCAUCAAGAGGUCAAGUCUAAUCUACCUACGGAUGUGGCAGGCUUAACUAUGGAUGUUCAAGCCAAACAUUGCCAGCAGAAACACAUCUCUUUAC
Diceros bicornis minor is the source of this 361-nucleotide long non-coding RNA. RefSeq lists it as uncharacterized. NCBI's taxonomy places the organism in Eukaryota, Metazoa, Chordata, Mammalia, Perissodactyla, Rhinocerotidae. The transcript is spliced from 4 exons. The record is from RefSeq and is a predicted model, not a curated record.